CUAUACAUGCAAGUCGAGCGAACAGAAGGGAGCUUGCUCCCGGAUGUUAGCGGCGGACGGGUGAGUAACACGUGGGUAACCUGCCUGUAAGACUGGGAUAACUCCGGGAAACCGGAGCUAAUACCGGAUAGUUCCUUGAACCGCAUGGUUCAAGGAUGAAAGACGGUUUCGGCUGUCACUUACAGAUGGACCCGCGGCGCAUUAGCUAGUUGGUGGGGUAAUGGCUCACCAAGGCGACGAUGCGUAGCCGACCUGAGAGGGUGAUCGGCCACACUGGGACUGAGACACGGCCCAGACUCCUACGGGAGGCAGCAGUAGGGAAUCUUCCGCAAUGGACGAAAGUCUGACGGAGCAACGCCGCGUGAGUGAUGAAGGUUUUCGGAUCGUAAAGCUCUGUUGUUAGGGAAGAACAAGUGCGAGAGUAACUGCUCGCACCUUGACGGUACCUAACCAGAAAGCCACGGCUAACUACGUGCCAGCAGCCGCGGUAAUACGUAGGUGGCAAGCGUUGUCCGGAAUUAUUGGGCGUAAAGGGCUCGCAGGCGGUUUCUUAAGUCUGAUGUGAAAGCCCCCGGCUCAACCGGGGAGGGUCAUUGGAAACUGGGAAACUUGAGUGCAGAAGAGGAGAGUGGAAUUCCACGUGUAGCGGUGAAAUGCGUAGAGAUGUGGAGGAACACCAGUGGCGAAGGCGACUCUCUGGUCUGUAACUGACGCUGAGGAGCGAAAGCGUGGGGAGCGAACAGGAUUAGAUACCCUGGUAGUCCACGCCGUAAACGAUGA
This 780-nucleotide ribosomal RNA is filed under the name unidentified microorganism. RNAcentral's name for it is "bacterial SSU rRNA". It matches the Rfam family "Bacterial small subunit ribosomal RNA", at positions 49 to 812 of the family's 1533-position model. The record is from RNAcentral.